This 6324-nucleotide long non-coding RNA is filed under the name Vitis vinifera (wine grape). RNAcentral describes it as "long non-coding RNA (VVIN_LNC002444)". The record is from RNAcentral. Lineage: Eukaryota; Viridiplantae; Streptophyta; Magnoliopsida; Vitales; Vitaceae.
GUCCCUCUCUCCAAUCAAUGAGAUGAUAUCUUUGCCCUCUAUAUGGGGCAAGAAACCCUUUUCCAUUUGUAUAGCCAACAUCAACAAGAUAGUAAUAAAUUAAAAUGAAUAUUCCAAAACAUAUUUUAAAAAAUAUAUCAUAUAUUAAAAAGAAAUCAAUUGUUUCUAAAAACCGCAUAUUUACCAUGUGGAACUGUCAAUCCAUUUCUCUUACUAACUGCAUCUCGAAGCACUCGAGAAUCAGAGGUCGAUCCCUCCCAACCUGGAAAUACAUAAAUAAACCGCAUGUCUUGAGAACAAACUCCUAAUACAUUUGUUGCAAUUUCAUUCUUCCUUGUUCGAUAUCUAGGCUUGUCUCCCUUAGGUACAUUCACUCUAGUGUAAGUUCCAUCUAAAGCUCCUAGACAAUUCUAUUUAAAUAAAACAUUAAUAUUGCUAUAAUAUGAAUUAAUUAAACCUAUAUAAACUUAAUUUAUAAUUUAUAUACCUUAAACCAUUUCCAUUUCUCAUCUGUGGAGUUCUCAAAGACUGGUUAUGGUUUUUUGAGUAAUACUCCUUGUAGGCGAAUGACCGCAUUCAAUAUUGCAUUGAAAUGUCUACUAACAGUUUCUCCAGACCUUAAGAAUCGAAAUUUUAUAACUCGAUUCUUUACAUGAUAUGCAAGAAUAUGCAAGAAUAAUGCAACCAUUUCUUCUACAUCAACAUAUUUUGAAUCAUUUAGUUUACCAAUAGUACGAAGCAUAGAACAUAAUGUGGUGAAAAUAUGUCUAUCCAUCCUAAGUUGCUCCAUACAUGCUAUAUCACUCCCAUAAAUCAAUCGAUUAAGAUUUUCAACUUGUAAAAAUUCUCUAUUUGCAUGUCUUUCCAUCAAUGUUUGCCUCUGCUAACGUUUCCUUGUAGCCGUACAAAGUGCAGUUAGCAUAUUAAGUAUGUUCACUAUAAUAUAUAGAAUCAGGAUAAGUUUUUCUCUUCUUUCCAUCUCAACGAGGUCCAUGGUUGUGCAAGAGUCCUAAUCAUAAAGGAGGAAAAAAAAAAAGCAUUCUGUGUUUUUAAUAGGAAUAAAAAAGAUUAAAUAUUCUAUGUUUGACCUCAUUAUUAAUUUUUUAUAAGCAAAGAAAAAUUAAUAUAUGCAAAUUCAUUUGUACCAAACUAAUACUAAUUUUCAUACCUUUUAAGAAAGUUAGUAGCUUAACAGAAUAAAAAAACUAAUUUAAAUAUAAAAAGACGCUAGGUUCAAGGUAAGGAUGUGAUGCUAUAGCAAUAUCCUUCUAGUGCAAGUGGGGCACAUACAAAUAGACAAAAUUUAUCAUUACAAUACUCUUGCAUGGGAAAUCUAGCAAAAAUUAAAUUAACUUGCUGAACAUAACCAUUUGUUCUAUUGACAUUUUUGUACAUGGUUAGAAUAUGUUAAACAACUCUUGACACCCUUACACUGCAAAUGGAUCAAAACAUCAAAUACAAGAUCCACACUACCACAAAUUUUAACUGCCAUGAGUUGACAAUUUUCUUGUAAGAAUUUUUUAUUUUUUAAACAUAAAUAAAAUUAGAAUCUUUCGCUUUAUGAUGCUUUAGUUUUUCAAAAGUUAAGUUCAAAUUGUCUUCAUCAAUUCAAAGAAACAAAAACUAUAAAUCUCAUGAACACAAGACAUGCAUUGUUGCAAAUUUUAUAUUUUCUUCAAACUUCCCUCCAUUUUCUCGGCACCCAAAUAGGGGAUUAGGCAAUAUUCUCCUAUUCCCGUCAGUUCAAUGAAACAAAAACUUUCAACAUCACAAAUAAAAACACCCAAGAAUAAAAUUUUAGUUUUUCUUCUAAAUUUCAACCAUUUUCUGGACAACCAAAUGGAGAAUUAGGCCAUAUUCUCCUUUCUCUUAUCAUAUGGCAAUCACAAAACACUUGAGAUUGAAAAUUUUAACUUUCGUUUAUUCACUUUUUCCUUAUCCUCCUAAGUCCUUUCGGCAUGCAAUGAAGCUUUAGUCAAUAUUCUCAUGUAUGAACAAAAAUUUCCAAUAUCAUAAACACGUGAAAUCCAAAAGUUUUGUUUAUGUUUGUUUUUUUCUUUUUCUUUUUUUCUUAACCAUUUCAAUUUUCCUCUCCAGUCUCCAUUCAUGUAUGAAACAAAAAUUUUCAAUAUCGCAAACAUGUGAAAUUGAAAAAUCUUUUUCCAACCAUUUCAAUUUUCCUCUCUAGUUUCCAUUAAUACAAGAUAAAGAAACAUCAAAUACAAGAUCCACAAAUACAAGAUUCCAAACAUAAAUCAAUAAAAAAAAAACAAUCGAUUUAUAGAGAAGAAGAAAGACAAAUAAAGAAGUAGAAGAAGAAAGAGAGAAGAAGGUAAACUUGAUCAGAGAUGUAGAAGGGAGUUUUCAGAACCUGGUUGUAGCGAACAAUGAUGAAUCUUGGAUCCAACAAUCAAAAUGAACAUCCCAAACCUUAGAAAUUAGAAAUUGAAUUUUUUUUCCUAAAUGUCGUGGAAAGUUUGACUGAUUCAAUUUGGGAGAAUCACAUGUUGCAGAGAAGUGGAUGAUGAAUGGGUCUCUAGUUUUGCAAAGAAGAUAUAAGCAUCGGGCUUGAAUAAUGAGAUAAGAUGGUAAAAUAGUAAAUUUAGGUUAUUUUAUAUUAUCAAAUGGGUUCAAUGAAUCAUAAUACCACCUACUUUUGAUGAAUUCAAAUCCGACUUAUAAGUUGGAUUUGAUUUUUGUCUGAAUAAUUUUUUAUUCCAUUUCUGCAUUCUUAACAUUUAUCCAAAUAUAGGAAUAAGGGAGAAAAGGAAUUAGAUGUCUAUUCUCACUCUCUAUUCCCGUGUACUAAACACUCCCUAAUAGUGAGUUUUUAGACACGAAAGGAAUUGGUGAUCUUGUACAAAAAUUGUUGAGACAAGAAAACACAUUUUGCAUCUACUAGUUUAUGUGUUUCUUAUAUUUGCUUUAAUCCUAUCUAUUGCAACUACAAUCAAGGAGUGAAUGUUUUCUGCAAUGAAUGUUGUGAAGAAUUGAUUGUGAAAUCGAAUAGGAGAUCAAUGGAUGAAUGAUAACUUGCUUCUAUAUGUAGAGACAAAUAUAUUUGAUAACAUUGAUAAUGAAACUAUUAUGCAACACUUUCAAAAUAUAAAAACUCAUGGAGGAUAGUUGGAAAAUAUUUUCAAUAGAAAUGUUAUCAAUCAAUAUAAUUUUUUUGUAUUUAUAAUUUAUUAAAUAUUAUUUUUAUUAGAUAUUAAAUAUUGCUUCUCUUAAAGUAAAAUGUUGGCUCCAUCACUAUCCAUGGCUUUUCAUAUAUUCCAAUUAAUCAAUCUCUCUCUUAAUUCAGUAGUGUUGCAUUUAAAGUCAUUCCAUUCAAAAUUUAGUGUGAGUUGCAAGUGUGUAGUGUAUAAAGCAUUGUUUGAUUCGUAGUUUCUCAUGAUUUCAAGUGCUGCUAUCAUAAGAAAGUAAUAGCUCUAUUUUGGGAGAUGAUUGCUACUAAAUCAUAAGCACUUGAGUAGGGUAAAUUUGUCUUAAAGACAUUAAGUCAAACUUUAACCUCAGUUAACCUUAUUUGUGAGUUUAAUUUCCAUUUGCUUUAUUUAUUUAUACACUUAUUAGUCCAUAUAUUUUUUAUAAAUAAAUUAUACAAUAUAAAAAUAAACAACUUAAAACUUAACAACAUGUAGAUACUAAUAAAAAAAAAAAUAAAACAAUCUAAACACUUAACUCUAUUUAGAUUUAAGUCAAAUCAUGAUUUAUUUAGAUUUAAGUCAAAUAAUGAUUUUUUUUAGAUUUCAAUAAUAAUAAAAAAACUACUUUAAUGUCUUGAGUUGGUACUAACCAAAUUAUAAAAUAAAUUUCCAUAUUUUCAAUUGAAAAUUUUACUUGAUUAUCUAAUCUUGAAGAAAAGGUUUCUAAAAAUCUUAUAUUUUAGACAUACUAUUAGUAGUGUUAUGUAUAAGCAAAGACUCUUUUUUGGAACAAAAAAAUAUAAAAAUAAAAUAAAAUAAGUCAAUAUUAAGAUUUUAGACCAUUGUCUAAUUUCCUUUUCAAGAUGCUUGUCUUUAGGAUUAGAAUAUAAGACCUUGGUAUAGUUCCAUUCGAGACUACGAGCUAUGAUCGACUUGACUAUUAAAAAGCAAGAUUCACCAAAAGAGAUUUUCAUCUUACGUCGAGCUAACAUUAUUAACUUAUAAAGACUUUUUCAACCAAUAAGGUGGUUCUCUUUUUUAAAAGGAUGAUAAUUUCCAAUAUGCUUAAAAUAAAGUUUGUGUUUGAGCAUAAAGAUUCUUUAAUAUCAACUUUAAGGUUUUCAGGACAUUUCAAAUACUUUAAAUAUUUUGGCUAUGUUUGGUUGACGGGAUAAGAUAAGAUAAAAUAUGUAUAUCUUAAGAUGUCAUAUCUCAUUUGAUAAGAAAUGCAUAUCCUAAGAUAUGAUAUCCUUGAAUAUUAUAUUCAAUGAAUAUGAUAUUUUAAGGUAACAUAUCUAACAAGAUAUGCUAUGUUAUAUUUAGUUUGUAAAAUGAAUAAUAUAUAUAUAUAUAUAUAUUUCAAUGUUUAAAAUAAAAAUUAUAUUGCAUCAUAAUUUCUAUAUUUAAAAAAAUAUGAAAUUUCUCUUCCGUUUAACAAUAUUCAUGAUGAAAACAUUUAAACUUUAUAAAUAAUUUUUUUAUAUUAUGCUAUUCAAUGUAUAAAAUUAAUUUAUAUAUAUGUAUUAAAUAAUGCAUAUAUUAAUAUUAUUUUAUAAUAUAUUUUAUACAUAUUUUUUCGUUUUUCUUUUUAAUUACAAAUUUAAUUUAUAAUAAAAAAAUUAUUUUGAAAAAUAAAUAAUAUAAAAAAUAAAAAUUGAUUGAAAAACAAAUUUUGUGAUACAUGAUAUAUGUAUAUUCUAUAUCUUACUUUAUUAACAUAUCUUAUGUAAAAUAGAUAUAAAAAAGAAAGUUCAUAAUAUAUCUCAUCGCUUAUCUUAUCUUAUAUUUGGAUGAACAUAUGAUAUAUUAAGUGAUGAGAUAACUUAUCACAUCCCAUCACCAAUCAUAGAUGAGAUACAAUAUGUUAUCCUUUCUUUUGGAAAUAGUAAUUCAAUCUUCAAACUGAAGAGCAAGCAUAAUUUUCACAAGAUAUCAAAAUGCCAUGGACAUAAAUCUUAAAAAUUGUAGUAGCCAUACUAAUUACUCAACUUAGCUUGAAGGCAUAAUUUUCUGGGUAACAACAAACAACAUGUGUAUUUGCGGUAUCCAUAGCCAUGAAUUGGAACUCAUUUCAGCCAAAUCAUAAAUGAAGUGUAAGACACAAUAGAUUAUUAGCUGAUUUAAUAAAAAUUAAAAUGGAUAAUUAAUAAUUAAUAAUUAAUAAUUAUUUAUAUGGAGCAAAUUGUUCUCAUGAUUUGUUUCCUUUUUUUUUUUUUCACACUAAAUCCAAAAUUCAAAAGGGUGACCCACUUCUCUCACUCGGCCAUCAAGGAGCCAUUUUCUGAAGUUUCCUUCCAGACGAGAGAAUCCCUAAAAAGGCCCUAUUUUCCUCUACCACUCUCAAUCCUCGCAGGUACUAAUCUAAUCACUUUAUUAACUGUUUUUUUUUUAAACCCUCGUUUGAUUCCCAAGAAAAUCCAUUCCCCAUUUGAUUUCCGGGAAAAUUCAUCCUCGUUUGAUUUCCGAGAAAAUCCUUGCAAAACCCCCAAGGAAAACAAAAAAAAUUGUUUUUUUUUUUUUCCCUCCCUGUGUUUUAUGGAUCUAUUCAUAUGGGCCUCCUAAAACACAACUUCCCUAAAGAAAUUUAUAACCUAUUUGUUUCCAAAUGUGCACCACUCAAAACCUAAAUCGAAUCAUAAUACCUGGAUUCCAAAAAUGCUGUAACCCUACAUAAUCUCCCCUCCAUCAAUGUGAAAAUAAACCAACACAAAUAAUCCAUAAAUAAAUCAACACAAAAAAUACAUCAACAAAAACAGAAAACGAGGGAGAGAAACAUGAUUCAAAUGACUAGUCAAAAAGAUAAUCACCUGAUGAUGGUGAUGAAGAUAGAGAUUUGGAUUUGGAUCUGUAGACAGAGAGGAAGAGAGCAGUUACAGUUUUCCCCACAUUCUUCGAUCUACGUUGUUGACUCACGAAGAAGAGGUUAGGGUUGGUUUCUCGGGAUUCUAGAGAUUUCGGGGAUAUAUAGGAAAAUAGCAAGUUAGGCUUCAUGGGAUUUAGGUUUUUCAGAUUGAGAGGAAGACUAGGCGAAGGUUAGGGUUUCAGAAAUGGUGGGUUUUGAGAGGGAGAUGAACAGAUGGAGUAUUUGAGUUCAGUGCCGGUGGAGAGAAAGUUAAGACAGAGAGAGAAAUGUGUGAGGAGGGAUGUAUUGUUUUUUGGUUCUUUUUUUUUUUUU